This 497-nucleotide ribosomal RNA is filed under the name uncultured bacterium. Its description in RNAcentral is "partial 16S ribosomal RNA". It matches the Rfam family "Bacterial small subunit ribosomal RNA", at positions 28 to 507 of the family's 1533-position model. The record is from RNAcentral.
GAUGAACGCUGGCGGCGGGCCUAAUACAUGCAAGUCGAGCGGACGGAGGGGACUUUCUCUUCGCUUCAGUUGCCGACGGGCGGGUGAUUAACACGUGUAUGACCGACCUAGAAGGCUGGCAUCACGUCGCGGAAGCGGAUCUAACAUCGGACAUGAUUUUGAACCGCAUGGUUCAUAAGAGCAAAACCUUCUUGCUGACACUAAGAGGGGUUUCCUGGCUGCAUUAGCUAGUUGGUACGGUAACGGCUUACCAAGGCAACGAUGCAUAGCUGACCUGAGAGGAUGAUCAGCCACACUGGAACUGAGACACGGUCCAGACUCCUACGGGAGGCAGCAGUAGGGAAUAUUGGACAAUGGGCGAAAGCCUGAUCCAGCCAUGCCGCGUGUGUGAAGAAGGUCUUCGGAUCGUAAAGCUCUGUUAGUAGGGAAGAACAUAAGUAUGAUAAUCUGUGGCUAUCUUGACGUUACCUACACAAAAAGCAACGGCUAACUUCGUG